Molecule: transfer RNA, 71 nt
Filed under: Nematostella vectensis (starlet sea anemone)
Lineage: Eukaryota; Metazoa; Cnidaria; Anthozoa; Actiniaria; Edwardsiidae
Rfam family: tRNA
About the family: Transfer RNA (tRNA) molecules are approximately 80 nucleotides in length. Their secondary structure includes four short double-helical elements and three loops (D, anti-codon, and T loops). Further hydrogen bonds mediate the characteristic L-shaped molecular structure. tRNAs have two regions of fundamental functional importance: the anti-codon, which is responsible for specific mRNA codon recognition, and the 3' end, to which the tRNAs corresponding amino acid is attached (by aminoacyl-tRNA synthetases). tRNAs cope with the degeneracy of the genetic code in two manners: having more than one tRNA (with a specific anti-codon) for a particular amino acid; and 'wobble' base-pairing, i.e. permitting non-standard base-pairing at the 3rd anti-codon position.
Source: Rfam by way of RNAcentral
GGGGAUGUAGCUCAGUGGUAUAGCGUCCGCUUUGCACGGGAAGGCCCGGGGUUAGAUCCUCCCCAUCUCCA